GAGCUAUGAUGAUAAUUGUGUCUAUUGUGGUGACGGGUUCAUCACUAACGUCUACUUCGGUGGCGAAAAACGGCACAUCUGAGCUC
Cicer arietinum (chickpea) is the source of this 86-nucleotide non-coding RNA. The record is from Rfam. NCBI's taxonomy places the organism in Eukaryota, Viridiplantae, Streptophyta, Magnoliopsida, Fabales, Fabaceae.